CUUAUUUUUGUUAUUUUCUUAUUUGUUAAUUUUAUUUAAUUACAUUAAUGUAUAUUUUGUUGGGGCGACAGUGAAAAUUAAUUAACUUUCAUUAUUUAUAUUUCAUUUAUAUAUGUUUAUUUUGAUCCUUUAUUAUGGAUUAUAAGACUAAAUUACCUUAGGGAUAACAGCGUAAUUUUUUCGGAGAGUUCUUAUCGAUGAAUAAAGUUUGCGACCUCGAUGUUGGAUUAAAGUUAGUUUUGGGUGUAGCAGCUCAUAUACACUAAGUCUGUUCGACUUUUAAAUCUUUACAUGAUCUGAGUUCAGACCGGCGUGAGCCAGGUUGGUUUCUAUCUACAAUGAAUUUUUAUAAUCUAGUACGAAAGGACCGAUUAUAAGUAAUAGUUAUCUUUAUUUGAUUAUUAAUA
RNAcentral lists this ribosomal RNA (407 nucleotides) under Homoeocerus angulatus. Its description in RNAcentral is "partial large subunit ribosomal RNA". The stretch from base 163 to 324 matches the Rfam family "Bacterial large subunit ribosomal RNA", at positions 2473 to 2632 of the family's 2925-position model. The record is from RNAcentral. Lineage: Eukaryota; Metazoa; Arthropoda; Insecta; Hemiptera; Coreidae.